AACCUCCGCAAUGUGAGAAAUCGCGACGGGGGGAUCCCAAGUGCCAUUCUUAACGGGAUGGCUUUUCAUUAGUGUAAAGAGCUUUUGAAAUAAGGGCUGGGCAAGACCGGUGCCAGCCGCCGCGGUAACACCGGCAGCUCUAGUGGUAGCAGUUUUUAUUGGGCCUAAAGCGUCCGUAGCCGGUUUAAUAAGUCUCUGGUGAAAUCCUGUAGCUUAACUGUGGGAAUUGCUGGAGAUACUAUUAGACUUGAGACCGGGAGAGGUUAGAGGUACUCCCAGGGUAGAGGUGAAAUUCUGUAAUCCUGGGAGGACCGCCUGUUGCGAAGGCGUCUAACUGGAACGGUUCUGACGGUGAGGGACGAAAGUUAGGGGCGCGAACCGGAUUAGAUACCCGGGUAGUCCUAACUGUAAACGAUGCGGACUUGGUGUUGGGGUGGCUUUGAGCUGCUCCAGUGCCGAAGGGAAGCUGUUAAGUCCGCCGCCUGGGAAGUACGGUCGCAAGACUGAAACUUAAAAGGAUG
This 521-nucleotide ribosomal RNA is filed under the name uncultured bacterium. Its description in RNAcentral is "bacterial SSU rRNA". It matches the Rfam family "Archaeal small subunit ribosomal RNA", at positions 345 to 866 of the family's 1478-position model. The record is from RNAcentral.